Molecule: long non-coding RNA, 1831 nt
Filed under: Triticum aestivum (bread wheat)
Lineage: Eukaryota; Viridiplantae; Streptophyta; Magnoliopsida; Poales; Poaceae
Description: long non-coding RNA (TAES_LNC016412)
Source: RNAcentral
UUUAAGGCAUCCACCCCCGUGAUUACGGGGCAGGGCGAGGUCACUUCGUCCGUCGCUCCGGCUCCGUUUUUUCGCCACGUGGCUCCCAUGCGUGGGGGGUCGUGGGCGGCGAAGUUGGGAGGCCGAGCCGUCAUGGGAGGAGACGGCGAGUCGGCCCCGCUCCUCUGCCCUCCUCGUGCCCUGAUUGGCUGAACGGGGCGGCCGAGCCCCCACCUCGCCCUUUAAAAAGGGCAGAAGGGGAGCACAAUAAUCCCGCACUUCCUCUUCUUCCUUUGUCCUCAUCUUCCAUUACUCUUCCUUCCAUCUGCCAUGGAGGGAGGGAACCUCGGUCCUUCAUCUGUGGUGGCGAGGGUCGCCACCAGGCAGCGCACCUCUCCCUAUCCUGCGCCCAUGGUGGCGGAGCCAGCCACGAGGGGUAGAGGGAGGGGGCGAGGCCGCGGACGGGGUCGUGGACGUGGUCGGGGCGCUCGGGGGAGAGGCGGCCGGGGGGGGUGCGCCACCCCCGUCUCCGCCGGCAGCUCCUCUCCUUGAGGCGGUCCACACUGGGGACGACCCCUGGGAGUUCUUCAUCAAGCUGCGCCGAGGACCUCGUCGCCGCCUCCGGCUACCGGCCCCGUUCGCGAGCGCGAUGGAACCGGAUCCGCCCGAGAUGUUGGAGUUGCGCAUGAGGGGCUGCGGGAUCAGCGGCACUCGAGUUAGUGUCGUAUCCCCAGCCCCCGGUGUGAUGUACUUCGACCGAGGGUGGAAGACGUUCGCCCGCAUCCACAGCUUGACGGUGGGGUUUACCCUCCAUUUUAAGGUAAUGGAGGGUGACCUUCUCGCCGUCAAGGUCUUCGGGGACUCCAGCACCCGGGCGAGAUGCUGUGUGGACAGCUCCUCCGAUAGCGAAGGCCCGUCCUCGAGCGAGAGUGACGAGGAGGGGAGCGACAGCGACGACGAGGACGGCGGGUCCGACUAGGCGUCGGACGCUGCCUCGCGCGCCACCGGCGACCCCAUCAUCUGGGUCGCCGGCCUUCUGAACUCCCCGGGGCCGUCUCCUUGGGCGGCUGGCGUAGGGAGGCUGCGGAAGAGGAAGAGGGGUGGCAGCAAGGCCGUCAAGUCGGAGUACGAGGGCGAGGUGCCCUCGACAGCGUGCUGACGUCCUGCCGUCCCGUCUUCAAGCUCUGCCUCCGGCGCCUCCGUCUCCGCCAAGCUCCUGGCCGGCCCCCGGGAAGUUCUCUUGGUGUCUUCUAGCACCCGUAGCUCACCUAGGCGCCCCUUUUGCCCUCCCCGGCAAGCUUCUCUUGCCGGGGCCUCCUUGACCUACCUCCUGAAGAGAGAAACAGGAGAGGGAUUACGGGCAUCUUAUCUUUCAAUUUGUAAGCCUUCGGGCCUUAGCUGUAUUUAAAAUCUGUAAUCCUCUCUAUCAUGUUUUUCAUCCUCUAUGGACUUGUACUAAACUGGGAUGUUUUUAAUGAAAAGAGGGGAGCGCUUACCAGAUUAAGUCCUUUACUCGAUUUUGUGCCUUGCAUUUUCCCACCCUACGCUUCUAGGGAACUUGUCGGCGCAAACAUGCGUGCUGAGUGCGGAAAGUCAGCAGCCCGCUGGUGGUGUUGCGUCUGGCAAGAAACCUUGCCAGGCCAGUUGCAGCGCGCUUGUAUUGUUGAGCGGACUCGGAAACAAAUCAAGGGCGCAACUUGGCCGCGACUCGGCUCCUCCGCGCACAGGUUUCUUUUUACAAGGCACACUCGCUCAAGGACGCGGCCCCACCUUUCCUAGUCCAUAAGAGGAUGCAUGACGAGGGAUGAAAAACUUAUCUGACAUCGCAGCCCCCCCGCGAUCCUAGCUUGUC